AACGAACGCUUGCUGCAUGCUUUAUACAUGCAAGUCGAACGGAGGCCCUAGCUUGCUAGGUGUCCUUAGUGGCGCACGGGUGAGUAACACGUGGGAACAUACCUCAUAGUACGGAAUAACUGCGGGAAACUGUAGCUAAUACCGUAUAUUCCAGCAAUGGGAAAGAUUUAUCGCUAUGAGAUUGGCCCGCGCAAGAUUAGUUUGUUGGUAAGGUAAUGGCUUACCAAGGCUACGAUCUUUAGCUGGUUUGAGAGGAUGAUCAGCCACACUGGGACUGAGACACGGCCCAGACUCCUACGGGAGGCAGCAGUAGGGAAUAUUGGACAAUGGGGGCAACCCUGAUCCAGCAAUGCAGCGUGAGUGACGAAGGCCUUAGGGUUGUAAAACUCUUUCAUCGGUGAGGAUAAUGACAGUAGCCGAAGAAGAAGGACCGGCUAAUUCCGUGCCAGCAGCCGCGGUAAUACGGAAGGUCCUAGCGUUGUUCGGAAUUACUGGGUGUAAAGCGCAUGUAGGCGGAACAGAAAGUUAGAAGUGAAAUCCCUGGGCUCAACCUAGGAAUUGCUUUUAAAACUUCUGUUCUGGAAUUCAGGAGAGGAAAAUGGAAUAUCCAGUGUAGAGGUGAAAUUCGUAGAUAUUGGAUGGAACACCAGUGGCGAAGGCGAUUUUCUGGACUGAUAUUGACGCUGAGAUGCGAAGGCAUGGGUAGCAAACGGGAUUAGAUACCCCGGUAGUCCAUGCAGUAAACGAUGGGUGGUAGUCGUCGGACUUAUGUUCGGUGUCGUAGCUAACGCGUUAAAGCACCCCGCCUGGGGAGUACGGUCGCAAGAUUAAAACUCAAAUAAAUUGACGGGGACCCGCACAAGCAGUGGAGCAUGUGGUCUAAUUCGACGCAACGCGAAGAACCUUACCAGCGUUUGACAUGGGAAGUACCGGUUACAGAAUGGUAACCUUCAGUUCGGCUGGCUUCCACACAGGUGCUGCAUGGCUGUCGUCAGCUCGUGUCGUGAGAUGUUGGGUUAAGUCCCGCAACGAGCGCAACCCUUAUCGUUAGUUACUAACAGUUCGGCUGAGGACUCUAGCGAAACUGCCGGUGAUAAGCCGGAGGAAGGUGGGGAUGACGUCAAGUCCUCAUGGCCCUUACACGCUGGGCUACACACGUGCUACAAUGGUAACUACAACGGGACGCAAUACCGCGAGGUGGAGCAAAUCCCCAAAAGUUAUCUCAGUUCGGAUUGCACUCUGCAACUCGAGUGCAUGAAGUUGGAAUUGCUAGUAAUCGCGGAUCAGCAUGCCGCGGUGAAUAGUUCCCGGGUCU
RNAcentral lists this ribosomal RNA (1315 nucleotides) under uncultured bacterium. RNAcentral describes it as "bacterial SSU rRNA". It matches the Rfam family "Bacterial small subunit ribosomal RNA", at positions 28 to 1381 of the family's 1533-position model. The record is from RNAcentral.